Molecule: transfer RNA, 54 nt
Filed under: Pyramidula tetragona
Lineage: Eukaryota; Viridiplantae; Streptophyta; Bryopsida; Funariales; Funariaceae
Description: partial tRNA-Leu
Source: RNAcentral
ACUUAAAAUCCGUUGGCUUAAUUGACCGUGAGGGUUCAAGUCCCUCUUCCCCCA